RNAcentral lists this ribosomal RNA (473 nucleotides) under uncultured organism. Its description in RNAcentral is "partial 16S ribosomal RNA". It matches the Rfam family "Bacterial small subunit ribosomal RNA", at positions 332 to 797 of the family's 1533-position model. The record is from RNAcentral.
UACACUCCUACGGGAGGCAGCAGUGGGGAAUUUUGGACAAUGGGCGAAAGCCUGAUCCAGCAAUGCCGCGUGAGUGAAGAAGGCCUUCGGGUUGUAAAGCUCUUUUGUCAGGGAAGAAACGGUGAGAGCUAAUAUCUCUUGCUAAUGACGGUACCUGAAGAAUAAGCACAGGCUAACUACGUGCCAGCAGCCGCGGUAAUACGUAGGGUGCAAGCGGUAAUCGGAAUUACUGGGCGUAAAGCGUGCGCAGGCGGUUUUGUAAGUCUGAUGUGAAAUCCCCGGGCUCAACCUGGGAAUUGCAUUGGGGACUGCAAGGCUAGAAUCUGGCAGAGUGGGGUAGAAUUCCACGUGUAGCAGUGAAUUGCGUAGAUAUGUGGAGGAACACCGAUGGCGAAGGCAGCCCCCUGGGUCAAGAUUUACGCUCAUGCACGAAAGCGUGGGGAGCAAACAGGAUUAGAAACCCCUGUAGUCCC